RNAcentral lists this unclassified non-coding RNA (225 nucleotides) under Hevea brasiliensis (rubber tree). The record is from RNAcentral. Lineage: Eukaryota; Viridiplantae; Streptophyta; Magnoliopsida; Malpighiales; Euphorbiaceae.
AUCGGAUCACGCACCUGGGAUACAUACAGUGAACCAUACAAGAAAAUAAUGUGAGAAAUAAGCAGCAUAAACUGGAUUUUCCCAUAAGAAUCCAAUAAAGAUAUAGAAAGAUACAGAAACAGUAAUGGGAAAACAAAUGCCCUUCUGUAACACAGCAAAUUUUAUAAGGUAACAGACCAUAUACUCUUUCGUGGCAACAAAUUCAACAGUUCCCCUGCAUAGCUC